Molecule: ribosomal RNA, 253 nt
Filed under: uncultured bacterium
Lineage: Bacteria
Description: partial 16S ribosomal RNA
Rfam family: Bacterial small subunit ribosomal RNA
Source: RNAcentral
UACGAAGGGUGCAAGCGUUACUCGGAAUUACUGGGCGUAAAGCGUGCGUAGGCGGUUUGUUAAGUCCGUUGUGAAAGCCCUGGGCUCAACCUGGGAAUUGCAGUGGAUACUGGCGAGCUAGAGUGCGGUAGAGGAUGGUGGAAUUCCCGGUGUAGCGGUGAAAUGCGUAGAGAUCCGGAGGAACACCGGUGGCGAAGGCGGCUUCCUGGACCGACACUGACGCUGAGGCGCGAAAGCUAGGGGAGCAAACGGG